AAUAAAAGUAGCUUAAACAAGGGAAAGCCUGUUUCUCUGUCACAUAGGAGUCUACAUGGUCCAGGACUGAAAUAACAGCUCUGUAGUGUGAGGGAAGCCAGGGCCCUUCUCUGGUUCUGUCGUUCCCAGCAGGCAGCUCUUCUACUGUCCAAGAGGGCUGCUCUGGCUUUCCACCAUCAUGUCUACAUUUCAAACAACAGGAAGGAGCCUUAAGUGCAGUAAGUGCUGGAAGAAUUCUGCACUGAUUAGAAACAGAAUUGAUACAGUUAUGGAAGAGGAUUUCUUGCAAGAUCAUGGAAGGGAAGAGUCUACAGUGGCUGUCUGUAUGCUAGAGCCAGAGGCUCCAGCGGCUACAAGGAGUGGGAAGUCUUCAGCAAAGAGGAAUCAAGGAUACAGUGCCAGUCUGAAACCAAAGUCCUAGAAGCUCCCUGGAGGCUCCCUGGAGAGUCACUGGACCUCUUGCAAGAGGGCUGCCUUCUGGCUGCUUCUGCUUUCUUCUCAGCUGGAAUACAUAUAUGUGUGUGUGCGUGUGUGUGUGUGUGCGUGUGUGCAUGCACCUGGGAAGAGGACGUGCCCAG
RNAcentral lists this long non-coding RNA (578 nucleotides) under Heterocephalus glaber (naked mole-rat). RNAcentral describes it as "lncRNA (ENSHGLG00100052415.1)". Lineage: Eukaryota; Metazoa; Chordata; Mammalia; Rodentia; Bathyergidae. The record is from RNAcentral.